RNAcentral lists this long non-coding RNA (816 nucleotides) under Arabidopsis lyrata. RNAcentral's name for it is "long non-coding RNA (ALYR_LNC001547)". The record is from RNAcentral. Lineage: Eukaryota; Viridiplantae; Streptophyta; Magnoliopsida; Brassicales; Brassicaceae.
CUUUUGAGUUAGUUGUUGUUCUUUACUCGGGAGUCUUUUGAUUUCAAUUAGGGAAUGGUGCUCUCUAUCAAAAGGUUACCGUUUACUUCUUCUUUGGUGUGUAGCUAUUUCUGCGAUUCUCAUCGAUUAAGGUUUAUUUGUUGGGUUUUUGGUUAGUAUUUGUUAUUAAGUUGAGAAUCGAUUAAAGAUGUUGUUGUAGGUUCCGUGGUGGAGAAUGGCGGCGCUGAAAUCAUCAAGUGGAAAGGAGAAACUUUCGAAAAAACUUGAGAUUGCAGAAGAUGGUAAAGAGGAGAACGAUGAAGAAGAAGGAAGCAAAGGUGAAUAAUUGAUUUUCUCUUUAGUGAUUAUUGAUCACGUGGUGGUUUUGUGUUUGUGUCUUUAAUUACUGCACACAUUUGGUAAAAAUGGAUCUUUUGUUUUUGAUCUUUUAAGCUUAGGUAGGCGUCAACGAAGAAGAAGAACAACAUUAAAAGCAAUUAAGAGAUUUUUGUUUAUUGGCAAAAAAAAAAAAGAGAUUUUUGUUUUUGACUAUUUGUUUCUUGUAACAACAUUAAAAGCAAUUGAGAGUUUUCUUAGAACCGUGACGCCGUCGCUCAAUCUCAAACGACACAAAGGCCAAGCUGAUCAGUACUCUCCUUCGUCCCUGGAUAAUUGCUUCUCGGUUUAGUGUGUCUCUCCUUCUUGAUUUAGUUACGCAAUAUACUUUGGUGGAUUAAGGGCUAGAUAAUAGUAAGAAGACCCUUUUCUUUUAUCUUUUCCUAAGAUUUAGUUUGUAUGGUGUUGAAAUAUAAUAAAGAAAGAAAAAGAGAAGGUAGG